This 1113-nucleotide long non-coding RNA is filed under the name Homo sapiens (human). RNAcentral describes it as "HSALNT0240526". The record is from RNAcentral. Lineage: Eukaryota; Metazoa; Chordata; Mammalia; Primates; Hominidae.
GCAACUUUUUUUUUUAAGUUACCGUUUCUUAAACAUCUCCUAAAGAUUACCAACAACACAUAUGUAAGUUUUUCUAAGCAUUUUACAUAUAUGGAUUCGUUGCCUUCCACAACAAUCCUAGGACAUAGGUACCAUUAGUAUCCCCAUUAUACAGAUUAAGAAACUGAGGUACAGGGAGGCUAAGUAACCAGCCCAGGCAGUGGAGCCGGGGUUCAAACCAGGCAGUCUGGCUGCAAAGUCCCUCUUCCUCACCACCACACUCAACAUUCCAGGCACUGUGCUAACUGUUUACACAAAUCCUCUCCAUUUUGCAGUUGAGAAACCCAAGACUCAGACCAGUUGGGCAACAGCUGAAGGUCACAUAGCUGGGAAGCAGUAGAGAUGAGAUUCAAAGUCGGCAGAGCUCCAGAGUCUCUGCUCUCCCCCACACCCUCCUGCAACCCUGCCAGACGCUCAGGCUUCCAAAGCAAGUUUAACCAAUAUCCCUGCAUUGCCACGCCUCUUCAGGCAAGUCAGCUUCUCCCCGCUGGGCCUCAGUUUCACCAUCUAGAAAAUGACUGGGGGAUUGGCCCAGCUGAUCUUUGAGGUCCCUUGGAGCUCUGUGAGUCUGUGAUGAGAAAGGUGUGGUGCUUCUAGCUGAAAGGGAAGACCUGUGGCCUGGGAAUACCUUGGGCUUGGCUUGGGGUUGCAGCCAGCAAGGAUGAGGGAGAUGAGGGCCUGGGGAUGAAAUGAAAAGGAAAUUUCAGGUGACUGGAGAAGGCUUAUUGGCUGUGAACCUGGGAAGAGGGUUCAGAUGUAUGAAGCAGCCCAGUGCAUCUCUCGGAGGAGGGUAAUGUCACGUGCUUGCGAGAUGAGCGAAUGGGUGUCAUUACCAGGCAGCUCCAUUUUCAACGAGGCUCUUUCCACUUGGGGAAAUGGAUGGAAUCACCUAUUGCAGGGCAUGGCAAGGCCCCAUCUCGGAAGCAGAGAGAGUCCACACCAGACACUGAAUCUGUUGGCGUCUUGAUCUUGGACUUCCAAUCCUCUAAAACUCUGUUGUUUCCUCAAGGGAAAACUUUAUCUGUGUGUGGGUAAAAUGUUGCUCUCUUAACGAAUCGAAAGCAGAACAUGAGG